This is a long non-coding RNA of Gavialis gangeticus (Gharial), 111 nucleotides long. RefSeq lists it as uncharacterized. The record is from RefSeq and is a predicted model, not a curated record. The transcript has 3 exons. NCBI's taxonomy places the organism in Eukaryota, Metazoa, Chordata, Crocodylia, Gavialidae.
UUCUUCUAUCGCAAAGGCGGCAGAAAGGCCACAGCAGAUCAGAAUACUUUUAACCCUAUGGAUUUUUAUCUGAACUCUUUGGGUUUAUCUUGCAAAUCAUGUUUUCACACC